This 453-nucleotide ribosomal RNA is filed under the name uncultured Prevotellaceae bacterium. Its description in RNAcentral is "bacterial SSU rRNA". It matches the Rfam family "Bacterial small subunit ribosomal RNA", at positions 341 to 792 of the family's 1533-position model. The record is from RNAcentral. Lineage: Bacteria; Pseudomonadati; Bacteroidota; Bacteroidia; Bacteroidales; Prevotellaceae.
ACGGGAGGCAGCAGUGAGGAAUAUUGGUCAAUGGGCGAGAGCCUGAACCAGCCAAGUCGCGUGAAGGAUGACUGCCCUACGGGUUGUAAACUUCUUUUAUACGGGAAUAAAAAAGGCCACGCGUGGCCUCUUGUAUGUACCGUAUGAAUAAGCAUCGGCUAAUUCCGUGCCAGCAGCCGCGGUAAUACGGAAGAUGCGAGCGUUAUCCGGAUUUAUUGGGUUUAAAGGGAGCGUAGGCGGGUCUUUAAGUCAGUGGUAAAAGCGUGUGGCUCAACCAUACCACGCCAUUGAUACUGGAGACCUUGAGUGCACAUAAGGAUGGUGGAAUUCGUCGUGUAGCGGUGAAAUGCUUAGAUAUGACGAAGAACUCCGAUUGCGAAGGCAGCUGUCCGGGGUGUAACUGACGCUAAUGCUCGAAAGUGCGGGGAUCAAACAGGAUUAGAUACCCUGGUA